GGCCCGUUAGCUCAGUUGGUUAGAGCGUCGUGCUAAUAACGCGAAGGUCGCGGGUUCGAUCCCCUCACCCCUCACGGGCCA
This is a non-coding RNA of Trichonephila clavipes, 81 nucleotides long. The record is from the annotation of a GenBank genome assembly. Lineage: Eukaryota; Metazoa; Arthropoda; Arachnida; Araneae; Nephilidae.